This 381-nucleotide ribosomal RNA is filed under the name uncultured organism. RNAcentral's name for it is "bacterial SSU rRNA". It matches the Rfam family "Bacterial small subunit ribosomal RNA", at positions 367 to 762 of the family's 1533-position model. The record is from RNAcentral.
CGCAAUGGGCGAAAGUUUGACGGAGCGACGCCGCGUGAUUGAUGAAGUCUUUAGGGAUGUAAAAAUUUUUUUUCAAGGAGGAAGUUUAUUGACGUUACUUGAGGAAUAAGGGGCUCCUAAUCUCGUGCCAGCAGGAGCGGUAAUACGAAAGCCCCCAGCGUUAUCCGGAAUUACUGGGCGUAAAGGGUGUGUAGGGGGUUAUAUUAGUUUUCCGUUAAAUUUCCGGGCUCAACCGGGAAACCGGGAAAGAAACGGUAUAGCUAGAGAGUGAGAGAGGUAUGGGGAACUCAUGGUGUAGGGGUAAAUCCGUUGAUAUCAUGGGGAACACCAAAAGCGAAGGCACCAUACUGGCUCAUUUCUGACACUGAAACAGGAAAGCGU